AUGCUCACUUUGGCAGCACAUGUGCUAAAAUUAGAACGAUACAGAGAAGAUUAGCAUGGCCCCUAGUAAAAUAAAAUAAAUACUUAGUAAGUCUAAAAAUGA
Lemur catta (Ring-tailed lemur) is the source of this 102-nucleotide small nuclear RNA. The record is from RefSeq and is a predicted model, not a curated record. NCBI's taxonomy places the organism in Eukaryota, Metazoa, Chordata, Mammalia, Primates, Lemuridae.